RNAcentral lists this ribosomal RNA (468 nucleotides) under uncultured bacterium. RNAcentral's name for it is "partial 16S ribosomal RNA". It matches the Rfam family "Bacterial small subunit ribosomal RNA", at positions 28 to 507 of the family's 1533-position model. The record is from RNAcentral.
GACGAACGCUGGCGGCGUGCUUAACACAUGCAAGUCGAACGGAAAGGCCCUGCGUUUGUUGGUUGCUCGAGUGGCGAACGGGUGAGUAACACGUGAGUAACCUGCCCUUAACUGUGUGAUAACUUCAGGAAACUGGGGCGAAUACCGGAGAGGAGCUCCUGCUGCGUGGGGUUGGUUGGAGAGUGUCGGCGGUGGUGGAUGGACUCGCGGCUUAUCAGCUUGUUGGUGGGGUAGUUGCUUACCACGGCUUUGACGGGUAGCCGGCCUGAGAGGGUGACCGGCGACCUUGGGACUGCGAUACGGCGCAGAAUCCUACGGGAGGCAGCAGUGGGGAAUAUUGCACAAUGGGCGGAAGCGUGAUGCAGAAACGUCGCGUGCGGGAUGCCGGCUUUCGGGUUGUAAACCGCUUUCGACUGUGACGAAGAGUGAGUGACGGUACUGGGUCAAGAAGCACCGGCUAACUACGUG